UCAGUCCUCCCCAGCCCUCUUCAGCCCUCUUCUAUUUCUUAUGCGGCCAUCUUGGCCUCACCAUCCCCACACGUGCCGAUGUCAGGUUCAUUGAAAUACCUCAGAUUUGUAAUUGUUGAUGUUUGAGUCUUCAGGAAGUAUUUGCAUCUCUGAAAUCUUUUUUAUAUGUGUUUUGCUGACUUUUGUUUUUUUUUAUUUUAAAAUUUUUAUUGUUGUAGCACCAAAGAAAUGAAAACAGAUCACCCCCAAAGCCAAGCAAGUGAUUGGGUACCCCAGCCCCUCUGGCCCUUCCCUCAAGCCCAGUAAGGAGGCAGCUCACCUGACCACACCGUUGGAGUGAACCCUCACUGCCCUCAAGGACAACAGCAGGGUGUCACCCAGAGCCCGAUGGGGGGUGCCAGCAGGUGCCCCCAUGAGUGGGGCCUUGGCCCAAGCAGAGCUUCCCCUGAAGGUGCCAUCAGCUAGGGCAGCUCUGUCCCCUCCUGCUCCCCAUCUUAUGUGUAUUCU
Molecule: small RNA, 507 nt
Filed under: Pongo abelii (Sumatran orangutan)
Lineage: Eukaryota; Metazoa; Chordata; Mammalia; Primates; Hominidae
Description: processed transcript
Source: RNAcentral